Molecule: ribosomal RNA, 311 nt
Filed under: uncultured bacterium
Lineage: Bacteria
Description: partial 16S ribosomal RNA
Rfam family: Bacterial small subunit ribosomal RNA
Source: RNAcentral
AGUGUUAGAUUCAGAGUUUUGAUCCUGGCUCAGAGCGAACGCUGGCGGCAGGCUUAACACAUGCAAGUCGAACGGGCACUUCGGUGCUAGUGGCAGACGGGUGAGUAACACGUGGGAACGUACCUUUCGGUUCGGAAUAAUACAGGGAAACUUGUACUAAUACCGGAUACGCCCUUUGGGGGAAAGAUUUAUCGCCGAUUGAUCGGCCCGCGUCUGAUUAGCUAGUUGGUGAGGUAAUGGCUCACCAAGGCGACGAUCAGUAGCUGGUCUGAGAGGAUGAUCAGCCACACUGGGACUGAGACACGGCCCAG